CAGAGGGGGCAAGCGUUGUCGGAAUUACUGGGCGUAAAGGGCGCGUAGGCGGCCUUCUAAGUCGAACGUGAAAUCCCCGGGCUCAACCCGGGAACUGCGUCCGAUACUGGAAGGCUUGAAUCCGGGAGAGGGAUGCGGAAUUCCAGGUGUAGCGGUGAAAUGCGUAGAUAUCUGGAGGAACACCGGUGGCGAAGGCGGCAUCCUGGACCGGCAUUGACGCUGAGGCGCGAAAGCUAGGGGAGCAAACGGGAUUAGAUACCCCGGUAGUCCUAGCCCUAAACGAUGAAUGCUUGGUGUGGCGGGUAUCGAUCCCUGCCGUGCCGAAGCUAACGCAUUAAGCAUUCCGCCUGGGGAGUACGGUCGCAAGGCUG
This 371-nucleotide ribosomal RNA is filed under the name uncultured organism. RNAcentral describes it as "bacterial SSU rRNA". It matches the Rfam family "Bacterial small subunit ribosomal RNA", at positions 526 to 896 of the family's 1533-position model. The record is from RNAcentral.